Molecule: long non-coding RNA, 298 nt
Filed under: Cyanistes caeruleus (blue tit)
Lineage: Eukaryota; Metazoa; Chordata; Aves; Passeriformes; Paridae
Description: lncRNA (ENSCCEG00000005725.1)
Source: RNAcentral
CCCUUCUCCAGGUGUUGUGCUCAUGGACAUCAGUCAGUGGGAUUGAUGGCACUGCCCAGCAGCCCCAGCUGGUUGUGGACACAGGGAUCAAACCCAUCAAAGCUCUGAAUAACACCAGGCUGGCACGGACUGGGAGCAUCUGAAGGACAGUAAUUGCAUGGAUUUUUCCCCUCUUUGGAGCCAUUUUUCAGAAAGAGGCAAGAAAUUGUUGUGCUGUGAGAAAACAGGAGCUGCCAUAUAUCAAACGAGUCCUGGCACCACGGGGCCUCUGUCCCACAGGACCUGGCUCUGGGAAUAA